UGGGGAAUAUUGGACAAUGGGCGAAAGCCUGAUCCAGCAAUGCCGCGUGAGUGAUGAAGGCCUUAGGGUUGUAAAGCUCUUUUACCCGGGAUGAUAAUGACAGUACCGGGAGAAUAAGCUCCGGCUAACUCCGUGCCAGCAGCCGCGGUAAUACGGAGGGAGCUAGCGUUAUUCGGAAUUACUGGGCGUAAAGCGCACGUAGGCGGCUUUGUAAGUAAGAGGUGAAAGCCCAGAGCUCAACUCCAGAAUUGCCUUUUAGACUGCAUCGCUUGAAUCAUGGAGAGGUCAGUGGAAUUCCGAGUGUAGAGGUGAAAUUCGUAGAUAUUCGGAAGAACACCAGUGGCGAAGGCGGCUCACUGGACAUGUAUUGACGCUGAGGUGCGAAAGCGUGGGGAGCAAACAGGAUUAGAUACCCCGGUAGUCC
Molecule: ribosomal RNA, 424 nt
Filed under: uncultured bacterium
Lineage: Bacteria
Description: bacterial SSU rRNA
Rfam family: Bacterial small subunit ribosomal RNA
Source: RNAcentral